Molecule: ribosomal RNA, 660 nt
Filed under: Triticum aestivum (bread wheat)
Lineage: Eukaryota; Viridiplantae; Streptophyta; Magnoliopsida; Poales; Poaceae
Description: partial small subunit ribosomal RNA
Source: RNAcentral
AUGGCCUCCGCCUCCUCCCUCUUCCUGGCCUCCCCCACCACCGCGCCAAGGACCCGCACACCCUCCUCCCCGUGCCCCGCUCGGCCGUCCCUGCGCCCCCGGCGGCCGUCCCUGGCGGUGGCGGCCGCGCUCCAGGCGGAGCACCAGCCGGCCGUGGCCGCGGCGCCGAAGCCGCCGGCCCUCCCGUUCCGCGUGGGCCACGGCUUCGACCUCCACCGCCUCGAGCCGGGCCUCCCGCUCAUCAUCGGCGGCAUCAGCAUCCCCCACGACCGCGGCUGCGACGCCCACUCCGACGGGGACGUGCUUCUGCACUGCGUGGUGGACGCGAUUCUCGGCGCCCUGGGGCUGCCGGACAUCGGGCAGAUCUUCCCGGACACCGACCCCCGGUGGAAGGGCGCGGACUCCUGCGUGUUCAUGAGGGAGGCUGUAAAGCUAAUGCAUCAAGCAGGCUAUGAGCUGGGGAACCUUGAUGCUACACUGAUCUUGCAAAAACCAAAAAUUAGCCCGUUCAAGGAGACUAUCCGAUCUAACUUGUGUGAACUACUUGGGGCGGAUCCAUCUGUUGUCAAUAUCAAGGCCAAGACGCAUGAGAAAGUCGACAGUCUAGGAGAAAACAGGAGUAUAGCUGCUCAUACCGUAGUUCUCCUGAUGCGGAAGUAG